This 71-nucleotide transfer RNA is filed under the name Loxodonta africana (African savanna elephant). It matches the Rfam family "tRNA". Rfam says of the family: Transfer RNA (tRNA) molecules are approximately 80 nucleotides in length. Lineage: Eukaryota; Metazoa; Chordata; Mammalia; Proboscidea; Elephantidae. The record is from Rfam by way of RNAcentral.
ACAUUGGUGGUUCAAUGGGAGAAUUUUUGCCUUCCGUGCCGGGGAGCUGAGUUCGACUCCCGGCCAAUGUA